AGAGUUUGAUCAUGGCUCAGAUUGAACGCUGGCGGCAGGCCUUACACAUGCAAGUCGAACGUGAAAGCUCUUCGGAGUGAGUAGAGUGGCGGACGGGUGAGUAACGCGUAGGAAUCUACCUAGUAGUGGGGGACAACAUGGUGAAAACCAUGCUAAUACCGCAUACGCCCUACGGGGGAAAGCGGGGGAUCUUCGGACCUCGCGCUAUUAGAUGAGCCUGCGUAAGAUUAGCUAGUUGGUGGGGUAAAGGCCUACCAAGGCGACGAUCUUUAGCUGGUCUGAGAGGAUGAUCAGCCACACUGGGACUGAGACACGGCCCAGACUCCUACGGGAGGCAGCAGUGGGGAAUAUUGCGCAAUGGGGGAAACCCUGACGCAGCCAUGCCGCGUGUGUGAAGAAGGCCUUAGGGUUGUAAAGCACUUUCAGUGGGGAGGAAAAGUUGUUCGUUAAUAGCGGCCAGCCGUGACGUUACCCACAGAAGAAGCACCGGCUAAUUCAGUGCCAGCAGCCGCGGUAAUACUGAAGGUGCAAGCGUUAAUCGGAAUUACUGGGCGUAAAGCGAGUGCAGGCGGCAAAAUAAGUCAGAUGUGAAAGCCCCGGGCUUAACCCAGGAAUUGCACUGGAAACUGCUUGGCUAGAGUACGUGAGAGGGAAGUGGAAUUUCUAGUGUAGCGGUGAAAUGCGUAGAUAUAGGAAGGAACACCAGUGGCGAAGGCGACUUACUGGACCAAUACUGACACUGAGGUGCGAAAGCGUGGGGAGCAAACAGGAUUAGAUACCCCGGUAGUCCACGCCGUAAACGAUGUCUACUAGCCGUUGGGAGACUUGAUCUCUUAGUGGCGCAGCUAACGCAAUAAGUAGACCGCCUGGGGAGUACGGCCGCAAGGUUAAAACUCAAAUGAAUUGACGGGGGCCCGCACAAGCGGUGGAGCAUGUGGUUUAAUUCGAUGCAAUGUGAAGAACCUUACCUGGUCUUGACGACAUCCUAACUUACGAGAGAUAGUUUGGUGCCUUCGGGAACGUAGUGACAGGUGCUGCAUGGCUGUCGUCAGCUCGUGUUGUGAAAUGUUGGGUUAAGUCCCGUAACGAGCGCAACCCUUAUCCUUAUUUGCCAGCACGUAAUGGUGGGAGCUCUAGGGAGACUGCCGGUGACAAACCGGAGGAAGGUGGGGACGACGUCAAGUCAUCAUGGCCUUUCCGGCCUGGGCUACACACGUGCUACAAUGGCCAGUACAAAGGGUCGCGACCCCGCGAGGGUGAGCUAAUCUCAUAAAACUGGUCGUAGUCCGGAUUGGAGUCUGCAACUCGACUCCAUGAAGUCGGAAUCGCUAGUAAUCGUGAAUCAGAAUGUCACGGUGAAUACGUUCCCGGGCCUUGUACACACCGCCCGUCACACCAUGGGAGUGGGUUGCUCCAGAAGUGGCUAGUCUAACCUUCGGGAAGACGGUCACCACGGAGUGAUUCAUGACUGGGGUGAAGUCGUAACAAGGUAGCC
Molecule: ribosomal RNA, 1495 nt
Filed under: uncultured prokaryote
Description: partial 16S ribosomal RNA
Rfam family: Bacterial small subunit ribosomal RNA
Source: RNAcentral